CGCUGGCGGCGUGCCUAAUACAUGCAAGUCGAACGGUCUUUCUAUGGAAGCUUGCUUCCACUGAGAAGAUAGUGGCGAACGGGUGAGGUAACAACGUGGGUAACCUGCCCAUAAGAGGGGGAUAACAUCCGGAAACGGGUGCUAAUACCGCAUAGUUUUCUUGAUCGCAUGAUCGAGAAAGGAAAGACGGCCUUUGUGCUGUCGCUUAUGGAUGGACCCGCGGCGUAUUAGUUAGUUGGUGAGGUAAUGGCUCACCAAGACGAUGAUACGUAGCCGACCUGAGAGGGUGAUCGGCCACAUUGGGACUGAGACACGGCCCAAACUCCUACGGGAGGCAGCAGUAGGGAAUCUUCCGCAAUGGACGAAAGUCUGACGGAGCAACGCCGCGUGAGUGAAGAAGGUUUUUCCGGAUCGUAAAACUCUGUUGUCAGAGAAGAACAAGUCGGAGAGUAACUGCUCCGGCCUUGACGGUAUCUGACCAGAAAGCCACGGCUAACUACGUGCCAGCAGCAGC
RNAcentral lists this ribosomal RNA (514 nucleotides) under uncultured bacterium. RNAcentral's name for it is "bacterial SSU rRNA". It matches the Rfam family "Bacterial small subunit ribosomal RNA", at positions 34 to 518 of the family's 1533-position model. The record is from RNAcentral.